UUCAGUUUUUAUCACUGUAAAUAUCCCAUUUGUAAUCUCAGUUCACUGGACCUUUAAACCGUCAGUCCGUGCUACAAAUCAUAUUGGACACGGUAGUCCAGGGAGAAGGACGUCAGUAUACUUCUCUUUAUAUCUAAAUUGUAUCACCAUUGAAUUCUUUAUCUACAUGGCUGGCACUGUGAUGACAAUUUUUAGUUAUAUGGUCCUGAUUUUCUGAGGUCCUGUCCGCCUGUGUAUUCCUUCUUGUGAUUUCCCAACAACCUGAUAUCCCGAGGAACUCGGUUAUGUGUGGUGUCCUACCUGUGGACCCAUAAGACGUGUGUGUGUGUUUGAAGGGAUGUUUCUUCGUAGAACACGUCUUGUAGCAGGGACGGAGUGUGUAAAGGACAAAACAGUAGUGACAAACCAGGGACUGUUUCUUGUAGAACACGUCACAGGGACGGGAUGUAUGAAGGACAAACCAGUAGUGACAAACCAUACCAAUCAACAUCUUAUUUUCAUACUUAUAUCUUGAUUAUUAAUUCCAUUAAAUAUGUAAAGUGUUACAAA
This is a long non-coding RNA of Ostrea edulis (European flat oyster), 549 nucleotides long. RefSeq lists it as uncharacterized. The transcript has 2 exons. Lineage: Eukaryota; Metazoa; Mollusca; Bivalvia; Ostreida; Ostreidae. The record is from RefSeq and is a predicted model, not a curated record.